CCUACGGGUGGCAGCAGUGCGGAAUAUUGGUCAAUGGCCGUAAGGCUGAACCAGCCAAGUAGCGUGAGGGAAGACUGCCCUAUGGGUUGUACACCUCUUUUAUGCGGGGCUACAGGUGUCCACGUGUGGAUGUUUGCAGGUACCGCAUGAAUAAGGACCGGCUAAUUCCGUGCCAGCAGCCGCGGUCAUACGGCAGGUCCGGGCUUUAUCCGGAUUUAUUGGGUUUAAAGGGAGCGUAGGCCGGUCUUUCAGCGUGCCGUGAAAUUUUGUGGCUCAACCAUGAGAGUGCGGCGCGAACUGGAGACCGUGAGUGCGCGGAAGGCAGGCGGAAUUCGUGGUGGAGCGGUGAAAUGCGGAGAUAUCACGAAGAACCCCGAUUGCGAAGGCAGCCUGCCGCAGCGUUACUGACGCUGAAGCUCGAAAGCGCGGGUAUCGAACAGGAUGAGAUACCCUUGUAGUC
RNAcentral lists this ribosomal RNA (460 nucleotides) under uncultured bacterium. RNAcentral's name for it is "partial 16S ribosomal RNA". It matches the Rfam family "Bacterial small subunit ribosomal RNA", at positions 338 to 795 of the family's 1533-position model. The record is from RNAcentral.